Molecule: long non-coding RNA, 344 nt
Filed under: Carica papaya (papaya)
Lineage: Eukaryota; Viridiplantae; Streptophyta; Magnoliopsida; Brassicales; Caricaceae
Description: long non-coding RNA (CPAP_LNC008928)
Source: RNAcentral
AUCCAAACAUUGAUAGAUGAGUGCAAGGACUUGUUGAUCCUUCUUCUUUGUUUUUGCAAAACAUCCUUCUCAUUUUGCAUUAAGGACGCUUCAUUUUUGGGUGGAGUAAAAAGCUUGUGUUUACAAUAUCCCACACAAGCAAACUUAAUGUGAUAGGGCCCUCAGAGCAUGCAAAAUAACCAAAAUUGCUGAUGCAAUUAAAAAAGAUCAUCGGCACUACCAUGAGAAACAAAACUACAAUAAACAAGCAAACCAUGAGUAUUUACGGUUUCUUAACAUUUUUAGAGCACAUGCUAUAUAUAUCUAACCAUUUCAGAUUCUCUCCUCACUCUAACUCUAGCUAG